UACGGGGGGGGCAAGCGUUGUUCGGAAUUACUGGGCGUAAAGGGCUCGUAGGCGGCCAACUAAGUCGGAUGUGAAAUCCCCAGGCUCAACCUGGGAACUGCAUCCGAUACUGGAUGGCUUGAAUUCGGGAGAGGGAUGCAGAAUUCCAGGUGUAGCGGUGAAAUGCGUAGAUAUCUGGAGGAAUACCGGUGGCGAAGGCGGCAUCCUGGACCGACAUUGACGCUGAUGAGCGAAGGCCAGGGGAGCAAACGGG
Molecule: ribosomal RNA, 253 nt
Filed under: uncultured bacterium
Lineage: Bacteria
Description: partial 16S ribosomal RNA
Rfam family: Bacterial small subunit ribosomal RNA
Source: RNAcentral